Molecule: ribosomal RNA, 440 nt
Filed under: uncultured bacterium
Lineage: Bacteria
Description: partial 16S ribosomal RNA
Rfam family: Bacterial small subunit ribosomal RNA
Source: RNAcentral
CCUACGGGAGGCAGCAGUGGGGAAUAUUGCACAAUGGGGGAAACCCUGAUGCAGCGACGCCGCGUGAGUGAAGAAGUAAUUCGUUAUGUAAAGCUCUAUCAGCAGGGAAGAACAUGACGGUACCUGAGUACGAAGCACCGGCUAACUACGUGCCAGCAGCCGCGGUAAUACGUAGGGGGCAAGCGUUAUCCGGAUUUACUGGGUGUAAAGGGAGCGUAGACGGCAGUGCAAGUCUGGGGUGAAAGGGGGGGGCUCAACCCCCGGACUGCUCUGGAAACUGUACGGCUGGAGUGCAGGAGAGGUAAGUGGAAUGCCUAGUGUAGCGGUGAAAUGCGUAGAUAUUAGGAGGAACACCAGUGGCGAAGGCGGCUUACUGGACUGUAACUGACGUUGAGGCUCGAAAGCGUGGGGAGCAAACAGGAUUAGAUACCCUUGUAGUC